RNAcentral lists this long non-coding RNA (2679 nucleotides) under Mus musculus (house mouse). RNAcentral describes it as "long non-coding RNA chr6:115555254-115557933". Lineage: Eukaryota; Metazoa; Chordata; Mammalia; Rodentia; Muridae. The record is from RNAcentral.
UGGCAGGCAGACUCAUAGCUGUGCCCUGCUGGCAAGCAGAGUAUCAGGGAGGCAUGUUCCCAGGAUAUGCUUGGAGUAGGUCUUACUUAGAACCUGGCAGAAUCCCAUCCCUGGAAGGCCAAGUGCUCAGGUCACUGUACUCAAAGCUAGGAUUUAGAGACAAGAUAGAGGCAGUGAGGAGCCUCUUGAUCAGGCUGCACCUGUCUAAAGAUGUGAGUCCCAAGACAGCUCCCUGAAGAGCAUAACUCGUUAGCACUGCAGUGUCUGAAAUGAAUCUUCAGCUCUAGAAACUGAACAUCCAGAAUGCAGUUAUCAGCAAGGCUACCUCCCUCUAGAGGGCACAGGAGGACAUUUCCUGCAAAUCUCAGCUUCUGGUAGUGCCUGCAGCCCUCGGUGUUCUUGGCCAGUCCCUGACGUAUACCAGUGAGGAUGACCUCAUCUUAAAUUGAAACAAUACACUACUGGAGUAGCUUUCCCAUGAGUAAGUGGGUUCAUCUCCAGAGUGAGAGGAAUCCACACAUGAGAACAAUAAAGCAGCUAUUUAUGCCAGUGAUGCUGGCUAUGUUGUGCAAGAGACGCUGUGCACGUGACAGCCUUCUCUCUUGUCUCCUAAGUCCUUACCCCAUACCCAUGAAGACUUCCUGUCUUCUUGAUAUCCAUGUUCUGCAAGUAAGGAACUGAACCAUGGAAGUUAAGUUCUUCACUUGAAGUUAGAAUGGGCCUUCAGGGGCUGGCUCCAGGAUGACCCAGAUACUAAAUGGACAUGGGCCCAUCAGAUAGAAGAAGGGAUCUGGGAGAGGCAUGUACAGGGCCUGGGAGCCUGAGAGGUGUACAUUUGCUUCCAGUCCUACCUGCUGCCUCUUCCCUCUGCCUUUCCCCUUUGCUCUCUGGCACCGGCUCUUCGCUUCAACACUCUUCCAGGACUUGACUUUUUAAGGAGUUUCCAGGCAGCAGGAGGCCACCACUCUGGGCCCCACACACUACAGUCUUAGGCUAUUUGCCAUCUACCUCUUAUAUUUCCAAUUACUUGGGAUUUCUCCCUCACAGUCGCAUGGCCACUCUUGUUGAAGUAUUAGGUCAUCUGAGAGAUGAUGAGGCAGGAGGGCAGUGGCUGUGACAUGUGACAGAAGAGUGGAGGGGCAGAGGUGCCAGUGGCUCAGCCCAGACUCAGAAGAGUCAGGUCCAGAGCCAUGUGUAGUUUUUAAUGCAAUGUGUACUGAGACAAUGGAGUUGUGUUUUACACUAUCCCAGAGGGCCUCACAGUAAGAGAGCAGACGAGUAACUUCCUGGGCACAUCUGUGCUUCACACUUCACACACCUCCUCUUCGUCCAUCCUCUCCACAUGAGGUGGCACAUGUUAGGUGAGACUCUGAGUCUGAGAAGUGAUGGUCACACAGCAAGUAUGACAUUGUGUGUAGCAGGGAUCUGAGUUCACCGUCUGUCCUGCCCAGGGCACUUGUGUGCUUGCCCUGGAUCAGCACAAAGGAGGCGGGUGGCUGAAUCUUCAAUUAAGUGGCUCUUUCAAUUUGUUUUUGCUUUUAGGGUUUUUACUAGGCUUUUUGUUUGUUUGUUUGUUUGUUUGUUUGUUUUGUGUUGUUGUUGGUGGUGGUGGUGGUUUUUUGUUUUUGUUUUGCUAUACUUUUACUUUUUUUGUUUUUUGUAUGCCAGAGAUCUUACCAUAUAGCUGUCCUAAAACAUGCAAUCAUCCUGCCUUUAUCCCUGUAGGUUCGAGAAGAACAUACUUGCACCACUGUGGCUAAGUCACAUUUUCAAGUCAGGGAUUCUGAUGUAUCUUAUAGAUCCCUUCUUCUACAGUAAGGUACAUCGACACAAGAGGUUCAAAUAGCAGAUGUCCAGAGGAUGGAGAAGUGGCUAUUAGCUCUCACUGAUCUUGCAGAGGACCCAGGACCAGUUCCCAGCACCCACACAGUGACUCACAACAACCUGCAUCAGGGGAGUCCAGCUCCCUCUUUCAGCCUCCAAGAGCACCACGUGCAUAUGCUGCACAUACAACAAACCCACACACAUAGUCAGAAAAAAAUCAAAUGAACAGGUUCAAAGAGCCACAAAACCUCUAGAGUCUAUGCUGCAGUUGCUAGCACAAGAAAACUUUCUAGCUCUUUCUGGCUUUUCAACUGUGUGUACUGGUUGCCAGGCCACCAUGUUCCUUGAUGAUAAGAAGCUGUAUGUAACAAGAUCUCUGUGAGCCAGGAGGACUAGCAUUCCCAAUUUUGUGGGAGAUGAAAUGGAAGCAGAAGCUACACAGUGGUGAAUGACAAAGUCGGACUAAACCCCAGACAUGUGCAAUACCAGAUUAACCACACCUUUUAUACUACAGGUUUCAGAGCAGCCUUGCCGUGUUUCAGUCCUUUAGUGUGGGAGGGGGCACUUUUUGAGACAGGGUUUCUCUGUGUCACCCUGGCUGUCCUGGAACUCACUCUGUAGACCAGGCUGGCCUUGAACUCAGAGAUCCGCCUGCCUCUGCUUCCAGAGUGUUGGGAUCAAAGGCGUGCGCCACCACCUCCCAGCUAUGUUUCAGUCUUUGAAACAUAGUCCCAGCUACAGAUUCAGCCAGGCCUCGUAGCACAGGCCUAUAAUACCAGCUACUCAAGAAACUGAAGCAAAAGAAUUGGCAAGUUCAAGUCUUGGCUGGAUAAAUGAGACCCUAUCUCAAAAAAG